GACGAACGCUGGCGGCGUGCUUAACACAUGCAAGUCGAACGGACAGGCCCCUUUGGGGGUACUCGAGUGGUGACCGGGUGAGUAACACGUGAGUAACCUGACCCUGACUUCGGGACAACUUUAGGUAACUGGAGCCAAUACCGGAUCGGAAUACUUGCUUCAAGGUGAGGGUUGGAAAGUUUCGGCGGUUUUGGAUGGACUCGCUGCUUAUCAGCUUGCUGGUGUGGCAGUGGCUUACCGAGGCUUUGUCGGGUAGCCGGCCUGAGGGGGCGACCGGCCACCUUGAGUCCUAGAUACGGCCGAGACACCGACGGGAGGCAGCAGGGGGGAAGAUUGCACGAGGGGCGGAGGCCUGAUGCAGCAGCGCCGCGUGCGGGAUGACGGCCUUCGGGUUGAAGACCGCAUGCAUCAGGAGCGAUGCUUGUGUUGACGGUACCUGCAGAGAAAGCACCGGCUAACUACGUG
RNAcentral lists this ribosomal RNA (465 nucleotides) under uncultured bacterium. RNAcentral's name for it is "partial 16S ribosomal RNA". It matches the Rfam family "Bacterial small subunit ribosomal RNA", at positions 28 to 507 of the family's 1533-position model. The record is from RNAcentral.